UAUUUGUUUUUAUUUUGUUUGGAUUUGAUAUCAGUGUAAACCCGGCCAAAAAUAUUUCCAUUUUUGUUUAAAAUGUAGUCGUGUAAAUGUGGGCUAAAUUAAAAAUACAUUUAAGGAAAUGUAGGAAGCUCUAUGUCCAUGGAUAAUGAACUAAAGGCUCCAUUGUAAGUUUAUUUAAGAAUUACUGAUCCUUUUAUAUAAUAUUAAUGUAAUACUGAGUUGAUAUCAUGUUAUUUUCAGUCUAGGCUGCUGAAGUUGAGGCUGAAGGCUCUGGACUUAUGAGUAAUUGGUAUAUCUUAAUGUGUGUUUCUCUUAUGCAUCAAGAUAUGAGAUUACUGAUACUAUACAGUCACUGGUUGAUGGAUCUCAAGAUGGUACUAUACUACCAACAGAUAUCAGUAAAGACUUAAUGAAUAGAUGUCUUUAUACUGGUACAUGUACACCACCUGAUCCUGUCAUUAGAACAUCAGGAGAAGUGAGAUUAAGUGACUUCCUUAUAUGGCAGAGCUCUUAUUCUUGUCUUUGUUUUCAAGAUGUGUUGUAGCUGGAGAUUUCCAUUUGGAAUUUAUUCUCUUCGAUAUAAACAUACCAACAGAAUUACAAUAAUAUAAAGGUAGCAAGAGAGUACAUGCACAUUGAGAGGAAUGACAAGCAGUAUAAAUCAGACAGAGACUGUGCAUUAGUACAAUAUUAUGAAGAAAGAAAAGGAGGAGGAGGAGAAGGUGAACUAUCAGAUGCAGUAUUAGAAGAACUCGUAGUCAUUAUGCUGCUGAGAGAAAGAAAAGAACUCAACUAUUUGUACAAUCAUUGAUCAAGAAGAAAAUAUCUUUCUGGAAACAGUAACUGAAUAAUAGUUGUCAUUAUGAUUAUAUUGUAAAUGAUUAUCAGCUUUAUAAUGUGAGAGUCAACAUGGUCAAGUUA
This is a long non-coding RNA of Amphimedon queenslandica, 921 nucleotides long. RefSeq lists it as uncharacterized. Lineage: Eukaryota; Metazoa; Porifera; Demospongiae; Haplosclerida; Niphatidae. The transcript has 5 exons. The record is from RefSeq and is a predicted model, not a curated record.